This is a non-coding RNA of Otolemur garnettii (small-eared galago), 106 nucleotides long. The record is from Rfam. Lineage: Eukaryota; Metazoa; Chordata; Mammalia; Primates; Galagidae.
GUGAAUUCUUGGUGCUGCAUGGACUCCUGGUUCAUCUGUACUUUGUCCUUUGCCAUAGGUCCUGCCCUAUGCCUGGAUGCCUCUGUGCCCUGCUGGGGGACGCGAG